Molecule: non-coding RNA, 75 nt
Organism: Potamilus streckersoni
Lineage: Eukaryota; Metazoa; Mollusca; Bivalvia; Unionida; Unionidae
Source: the annotation of a GenBank genome assembly
GGUUCUGUUGGUCUAAGUGGUUGGAUAAUCUGCCUCAGAUGCAGAAGGUCAUGGGUUUGAACCCCUGCAUAGCCA